Long non-coding RNA from Gallus gallus (chicken), 1719 nucleotides. RefSeq lists it as uncharacterized. NCBI's taxonomy places the organism in Eukaryota, Metazoa, Chordata, Aves, Galliformes, Phasianidae. The record is from RefSeq and is a predicted model, not a curated record. The transcript has 2 exons.
GGCUCGGGCCCGCCCGGCUCUCCCCUCAGCCGGCGUCGCUCCGCAGCCCGGGCCGCCCCGCACGGCACCGCCGGCGGAACAGCACCGGGACGGAACCGCGGCACGACGGGAGCGGUGCUGAGCUCUGCGGUGGGGCGUGUGGUGUUGUGGGGAAGCGGCGCAGAUGGAAAGCUGCCGUGUGGAGCCCCACAGGACGAGUUGCAGAGGCCCCUGAAGGAAAAGGAGAAGGAAGGGCAUUUGCAGAGGGAAAGGCUGUCCCGCUGGCCUUAGGUGUUGCUGAACGGGAGGGGUGGCCAAUGCUUUCUCUUUCCACUGCCUCACGGAUGGUGGCAAAUGCCUUCUGGGGGUGGUUCCAGCAGUGGGAAGAAAACAGCUGGCAGCGGAGGGGUAAACCUCUUUGGGCUGCUGAGCUGUGUGCUGAACCAUAAGGAAGGUGGCUGUAAAGGUGUGCCGUGCAGAUGUCGUGUGCCCAGCAGUCGGGCCGAUGAAGAGCAACAAAUGAAGCGCCAGGUGGGUCGAGCUGCCAGAAUUGAGGCUUUCUUUAUUUGCCCUUGCUUUGCUUUGCUCUGCUCUGCUCUUCUGUUCUUCCUUUUCACCUCUGCUUCGCAUUGCUUUGCGUUGCUUUCUGGUUUGCUUUGCUUUGCUUUAUUUCCUACUCUGCUUCUUCUCUCUUCUUCCCGUUGCUUUCGUGUUUCCUCUUUUUCAGUUGGUUUUUAACUUGGAUGUACUUUGUUGAUCUUUUGCUUCCAUUUCUCUUUCUGACUGUUUAACUGAGUGCUGUUCUCUGUGUGUUCCUGCUGUGCUUUCGGCCGCCUUUCGCUUUCCCUUUCUUCCUUGGGCCGCCUUUCGCUUAUUGUUGUUCGUUCUAAAAGUCUCUCUGUAUUUUCUCCUCUUUUCCAGUGGUUUUUCUGUGCUCUGCUUUCAGUUUCCUAUUUGUUUUGUAAUUGCAUUCUUCUUUGCCUUCUUUUCCUUGCCUGUAUCCUUGUCCCCUUGCCUGUCUCCUUCCUCUAGCCUUGCCCUUACUUGCUUUGCUUUGCUCUGCCUUCUAAUUCUAAUUCAGAUUUCUGUACUGCUCGCUUUUGCUUCGCUUUCCAUUGUUUAUUUCCUUAAUGUGGUUUUCUUCCUUCCAGUUCAUUUAUUUGCCUUCCUUUUUUUCCUUCCCCUUUCUCUUCUUAUCGAAUGACUUAUUGUUAGUUUCCUUUCCUUUUCAGUCCCUUUUCUUUCAUUUCUUUUUAUUGUUUUUCUGGUGCUUUGCUUUGCUCUUUGGUUUUCCUUUCAUACCUUUGCUUUGCAUUGCUUUGCAUGGCUUCAUGGCUUUCUCGCUUUGCUUUGGUUUCCUUUCUUCUUUGCUUGUUUGCUUUUCUGUCGGUGGCUUUGCUUGUAUCCUUAUGGUCAUUAUUUGUUUUCUUUGAACAAUUUUGGAUGGUGUUUUUUUUCUUGUUGAAUUUCUUUGAGUCCUUUGCUUUGCCAUGAUACCCCAUUCUGUUUUUUCUUUUCCUCGGUAUUUCAUUGCUUUGCUAUGCCUUCUAGUUUUGCUUUUUUCUUUUCCCCUUUCCAUUUUGCUUUUCUUUACUGCUCCUUUCAAUUUUCCUUCCACUGUUUUUUUUUUCCUUUUGUUGUUUCUUUUCCAUUCCUGCCCUAUUCAAGCUAGUUCUCUUUGCAUUCCUUUGUGAUUCUCCUUUUUCAUCCUUUAAAUUUUUCCCUUCCUUGCCCCCUUCC